RNAcentral lists this ribosomal RNA (1757 nucleotides) under Stenocereus thurberi (organ pipe cactus). RNAcentral describes it as "SSU rRNA". It matches the Rfam family "Eukaryotic small subunit ribosomal RNA". The record is from RNAcentral. Lineage: Eukaryota; Viridiplantae; Streptophyta; Magnoliopsida; Caryophyllales; Cactaceae.
AGUAGACAUAUGCUUGUCUGAAAGAUUAAACUGUGCAUGUGUAAGUAUGAACUNNNNNNNNNNNNNAAACUGAGAAUGGCUCAUUAAAUCAGUUAUAGUUUAUUUGAUGGUACCUGCUACUCAGGUAACUGUAGUAAUUCUAGAGUGAAUCCGUGCAACAAAUCCCGACUUCUGGAAGGGGCGCAUUUAUUAGAUAAAAGGUCAACGCGAGCUUUGCCGGUUGCUCUGAUGAUUCAUGAUAACUCGACGGAUCGCACAGCCCUUACGCCGGGGAUGCAUCAUUCAAAUUUAUGCCCUAUUAACUUUCGAUGGUAGGAUAGUAGCCUACCAUGGUGGUGACUUGUGAUGGAGAAUUAAGGUUCGAUUUUCAGAGAAGGAGCCUGAGAAACGGCUACAACAUCCAAGGAAGGCAGCAGGCUUGCAAAUUACCCAAUUUUGGCACGGGGAGGUAGUGACAAUAAAUAACAAUACCGGGCUCUUCGAGUCUGGCAAUUGGAAUAAGUACAAUCUAAAUCCCUUAAUGAGGAUCCAUGGGAUGGCAAGUCUUGUGCCAGCAGCCGCGGUAAUCCUAGCUCAAUAGCGUAUAUUUAAGUUGUUGCAGUUAAAAAUCUCGUAGUUGGACCUUGGGGUGGGCCGACUGGUCCGUGUUGUGGUGUGCGCCAGUCAUCCUCCUCCUUCUGCCAGCAAUGCGUGCGAUCGACGCGGUUACUUUGAAGAAAUUAGAGUGCUCAAAGUAGGCCUAUGCUCUGGAUACAUUAGUUUGGGUUAACAUCAUAGGAUUCCGAUCCUAUUAUGUUAGCCUUCAGGAUUGGAGUAACGAUUAACAGAGAGAGUUGGGGGCAUUCGUAUUUCAUAGUCAGAGGUGAAAUUCUUGGAUUUAUGAAAGAUGAACAACUGUGAAAGCAUUUGCGAAGGAUGUUUUCUUUAAUCAAGAAUGAAAGUUGGGUGCUCGACGACGAUCAGAUACCAUCCUAGUCUUAACCAUAAACAAUGACGACCAGGGAUCAGCGGAUGUUGCUUUUAGCACGUCAUCGACACCUUAUGAGAAAUCAAAGCUUUUGGGUUCCGUGGAGGGUAUGGUCACAAGGUUUAAACUUAAAGGAAUUGACGGAAGGGCACCACCAGGAGUGGAGCCUAUGGCUUAAUUUAACUUAAGAUGGGGAAACUUACCAGGUUCAAACAUAGUAAUGAUUGACAGACUGAGAGCUCUUUCUUGAUUCUAUGGAUGGUUGUGCAUGGUCAUUCUUAAUUGGUGGAGCGAUUUAUCUACUUAAAUUCAUUAACGAACAAGACCUCAGCCUGCUAACUAGCUAUAUGGAGGUAACACUUCACAGCUAGCUUCUUAGGGGGACUAUGACCUUCCAAGCCACAGACGUUUGAGGCAAUAAUAGGUCUGUAAUCCCCUUAGAUGCUCUGGGCCGCAUGCGCGCUACACUGAUGUAUUUAACGAGUCUAUAGCCUUCGCCGAUAGGCUCGAGUAAUCUUUGAAAUUUCAUUGCGAUGGGAUAGAUCAUUACAAUUAUUGGUCUUCAAUGACGAAUUCCUAGUAAGCGCGAGUCAUCAGCUCAUGUUAACUACAUCCCUAGCCUUUAUACACACCGCUCGUCGCUCCUAUCGAUUGAAAAGUUCGGUGAAGUGUUCGGAUUACGGUAACGUGGGCGGUUCGCCACCGACGAUGUCACGAGAAGUCCCCUGAAUCUUAUCAUUUAAAGGAAGGAGAAGUCGUAAUAAGGUUUCUGUAGGUGAACCCGCGGAAA